Molecule: long non-coding RNA, 1340 nt
Organism: Gasterosteus aculeatus aculeatus (three-spined stickleback)
Lineage: Eukaryota; Metazoa; Chordata; Actinopteri; Perciformes; Gasterosteidae
Source: Ensembl
UAUAGACCUGCACCAGCUGCAUCCAAUAAUGAAGGGGAGGAGUCCAGGUCGGUCGUAUCCAAUCGUCUGCACCUUGGGUGAAGGGUAGCCAUCUUGCCUGCAGAUUUCCUGUACAUGGAGAGACAGGACACAAACCAACACAAACACCCCCAAAACGUAACACGCCCCCCCCAAAAAAAGGUGCAAAACUAUCCAGGAUUGCACCAUCCAUUCUAUCACAGUAAAACAUACUACAAACACCAAAACAACACUAGUGUGCACGAGACAACGCAUCUGCAACAAUGUUGUCCGAUCCCUUUUUAUAUUUGAUGCACAAGUUGUAACUCUGCACAAUUAGCGCCCACCUCAUGAGCCGGCGGUUCUGAUUGUACAUCCUGUGGAGAAAAAUUAGCGGAUUGUGGUCAGUAAACACCACCACAGGGACAACACUAGACCCGACGUACACUUCGAAAAAUUGAAGGGCUAAUAACAAAGCCAAUGUCUCCUGCUCGAUGGUGGAGUACCUUGUCUGACAGUCACUGAAUUUUUUUGAAAAGAAACAAACGGGUCUAUCGAUCCCUUCACCGUCCUCCUGUAAGAGGACGGCGCCUGCGCCCACGGCGCUAGCGUCAACCUCCAUUUUAAAAGGUUUGCUAAAAUCAGGGGCUGCAAGCACCGGGGCAGUACACAGGAGUAGCUUCGCGGAAUUGAACGAAUGCUCACAUUCCGGAGACCACUUAAACGGAACCUUGGGUGACAAAAGCGAAGACAGGGGGGCUACCACCGUCGAAAAGUUUUUGCAAAACGUACGGUAAUAACCCACCAUACCUAGGAAACGGCGAAGCUCACGGCGCGUAACAGGGGCAGGGAAACUAGCUAUGGCUUCCACCUUGCUAGCUAACAACCGAACCUGCCCAUGUCCCACCUGUUUUCCAAGGUCUAACUUCGUGACAAACACCGCGGAGCCGAUGCUGUCGAUGCAAUCUUCUAUUCGAGGUAACGGAUAAGAGUCUGGUGCAGUAACACCAUUAACUCGCCGAUAGUCUGUGCACAACCGGGAUGUGCCGUCUGGUUUUGGGACUAGGAUACAAGGUGAACUCCAAGCACUGUUACUGGCUUUGGCCAUGUUGUUUUUUAACAAGUACUCAAUCUCACCUUUCAUCUUCUCCCUCUUAAACGCAUUUACCCGGUACGGGUGUUGACGGAUGGGGGUCGCGUUUCCUACAUCAACAUCGUGUGUCAAAACCGUGGUACAUCCAGACCGUCCUCCGGGUCAUCCUCCAGGUACGCCCCCGCCUGCAGCGCAACAGUGGCCACUGAAGAGACAGCGGGCUGGAUGGGCUUAUUGGAGAGAGUGUUAG